RNAcentral lists this microRNA precursor (97 nucleotides) under Mesocricetus auratus (golden hamster). Its description in RNAcentral is "miRNA (ENSMAUG00000005915.1)". The record is from RNAcentral. Lineage: Eukaryota; Metazoa; Chordata; Mammalia; Rodentia; Cricetidae.
AGAGGCAGGCGGAUCUCUGUGAGUUCGAGGCCAGCCUGGUCUACAGAGCGAGUUCCAGGACAGUCUCCAAAACGAUACAGAGAAACCCUGUCUCCAG